UACAGAGGUCUCAAGCGUUGUUCGGAUUCAUUGGGCGUAAAGGGUGCGUAGGUGGCGCGAUAAGUCGGGUGUGAAAUCUCGGAGCUUAACUCCGAAAUUGCAUUCGAUACUGCCGUGCUCGAGGACUGGAGAGGAGACUGGAAUUCAUGGUGUAGCAGUGAAAUGCGUAGAGAUCAUGAGGAAGACCAGUGGCGAAGGCGGGUCUCUGGACAGUUCCUGACGCUGAGGCACGAAGGCCAGGGGAGCAAACAGG
RNAcentral lists this ribosomal RNA (253 nucleotides) under uncultured bacterium. Its description in RNAcentral is "partial 16S ribosomal RNA". It matches the Rfam family "Bacterial small subunit ribosomal RNA", at positions 524 to 776 of the family's 1533-position model. The record is from RNAcentral.